CGGACGGGUGAGUAACGCGUGAGAAUCUGCCAAAAGGACUGGGACAACCACUGGAAACGGUGGCUAAUACCGGAUGUGCCGCAACGUAAAAGAGGAAACUCGCCUUUUGAGGAGCUCGCGUCUGAUUAGCUAGUUGGUGAGGUAAAGGCUCACCAAGGCAUCGAUCAGUAGCUGGUCUGAGAGGAUGAUCAGCCACACUGGGACUGAGACACGGCCCAGACUCCUACGGGAGGCAGCAGUGGGGAAUUUUCCGCAAUGGGCGAAAGCCUGACGGAGCAAGACCGCGUGAGGGAGGAAGGCUCUUGGGUUGUAAACCUCUUUUGUCAGGGAAGAACACAAUGACGGUACCUGAAGAAUCAGCAUCGGCUAACUCCGUGCCAGCAGCCGCGGUAAUACGGGGGAUGCAAGCGUUAUCCGGAAUUAUUGGGCGUAAAGCGUCCGCAGGUGGCUAAUCAAGUCUGCUGUCAAAGGUUGGGGCUUAACCCCAAAAAGGCAGUGGAAACUGAGAAGCUAGAGUGCAGUAGGGGUAGAGGGAAUUCCCGGUGUAGCGGUGAAAUGCGUAGAGAUCGGGAAGAACAUCGGUGGCGAAAGCGCUCUACUGGACUGCAACCGACACUCAGGGACGAAAGCUAGGGGAGCGAAUGGGAUUAGAUACCCCAGUAGUC
This 665-nucleotide ribosomal RNA is filed under the name uncultured bacterium. Its description in RNAcentral is "bacterial SSU rRNA". It matches the Rfam family "Bacterial small subunit ribosomal RNA", at positions 99 to 795 of the family's 1533-position model. The record is from RNAcentral.